CUUUUUCUUGGCUGGAUGUUCUCUAUCCCUGUUUCACCUCCUGCGGCUCCCCGCUUCUCAGCAGGUGGCCCUGUCCCCACCUUUACCAGCCCACCCCACAGGUAUUUUGGCUGAGCCGAGGCCUUGUCUUGGGUGGGUUUAGGGGUUGCGUGCUGGGGGAUGGUCAAGAAGAAAUACCAAUUUGUGACAUUGUCCGGCUUAACCCAGGAAUGCCAAUUCACAAAACUGUCACCAGAUCCCAAAGCACCAGAACCUUCCCCCCACAGCUAAGGCCUGCCCAUAGAUGGACAGGGAGGUGAACAGGCAGCAAGCAGGACCCUCUGGUCCACCCCAGGACUCAUCAACCUCACGCGUCAGCAAGGGAAAUGAACCCUCUAGGUAUUUCUUAGGUUUCUAGGUACAGACUUACAAGCCCUCGUCACUGGAGAAGAUGGCUGUUUGCAGGACCCUGACCACGUGAUCAUCCUUCCGGCCAGCCUUCCUCCUUCGGGCCCCUUACUCCCGGGCUCUGGUCAUCCCAGCCAUGCCUCCAUACCAGCUCUGCCAGAGACCGUUUUUAAAGGGCUGGGUCUGCUCAGGAGCGUCCGCAUUAAGAUCUGCCCAGGAGAAGGGACAACUUCAAGGUAAAGGUUAACAUGAGGUGGGGGUGGGGGGGGCAUGGAGUGAUGUUUAUCCCUUCUUGGUAAGAGGUGGAUGGGUCUUUCAAGAAAUGAGAUUCUCACCACCUACCGUGGACACGGGAUGAUACAUUAUUCCUUAUAGCUAAGCAUUUGCUACCUCUAAAUCAGCUCUCCGGCCCUGAGGCCCCUUUGCCCUGCCACCCCCACCCCCCGCCCAAACUCCUUGUUCCUGAGUGUGUUCCUUGUUCCUUACCCCAGAAGCUUGCAAAAUAAAACCAAAAAAAAAAAGUCAAUUUUGUACAAAAGGAAAUACAUGAAAAAACUGAAUACUGUUUUCCCCCCCAACUGUAAUAGAACUGCCUUCCACCAUAGAGCAUUUCAAAAUACAGGAGGAUGAAAAGGCUCACAGAAACGCCCAUACCUAGACAGAACGUCUGCUAAUAAACAGAUCCUUCCAGCGUUUUUCCCCCAUGCGCGUAUACCCCCCACCCAGUUAGCAGGAUUGGGGUUUUUUAAAAGGCGUGAGGCUCGCAACCCGUUUGAGCAAUGGCCCUGUGCUCUUGGGAGCUACAGUCUCUCUUUUCUUCUUGCCAAGUGGGACGGGCAGGAGCUCGCCCACAGCCAGGAAGCCCGGAGCUGUCAGUGGCGGGUACUGGAGCCACACUAGGUCUCUCUUCUAAACCGAGAUGGAUGGAGUUGGUGAGGAGGCUGGAAAUGCAGGCUUUGUCCUCACUGAUCUCUAAGUGGGCUGCCGCACGGCUUCUAGACUCUGGUCGCGCUCGGAAUCUGGGGAGCGUUACAGACACGUCAGGGCCUGCUUCCUCCCCAGCAAGGCCAGUUGGAUCUGGGUGGCUGGGGAUAGGGGAGCACCCAGGGACUGGUCUCUUGGUCUUCUCUUCCUCGGGUGAUUCUGUUAAGCAUCCAGAGAACUCUCCGGCCACGCACCCACGAGCUAGAGAUGGAAGAGAUUCUGGCAGCCCGGCCUUCAGAGCCUGAUCGAGGAGAUGUGACCAUUUGCAGUUGGCAGAAUUUCACGUCCAUUAUUUUCUCUGCCGCUCAGAGCCCUCUUUUGGUCCUCAUUCUACGGAUGGAGGGAGUGAGGCAAAAGCGAUCAGGAGACUCGCCGGGAGACACAGUCAAGGAUAGGGCAGCGCUGGGGUUCGGGGCUGCAGCCUUGGACUCCCGCUGCCAGUGCUCUUUCGGUAAUAAGUAUUUAUAAUUAGUAUAUGGUUUUAACAAGCGUAUCAUAACGCUUUGGUCAUCCAGUCCCGGGAGGUGAGUGGGCGGGUGCUGCUGUCUCACGGAGCAUGGUGGGUAUCUGCACCACAGAGAGGCUGGUCCCCCUGCUGUGAGUGCUCCCAGCCAGCCUGGACCCACAGCCGCCCCAAUUCAGCCCUCCGUUGGCCUAGGAUCCCAGCCCUGGGCAGGGCAAGAUUUAACCUCAUUUUCAGAACACAUCAGCCGUGUGGCCUAGGUGACAGCUGGCGGGUGGCUGAGGCCCCUGGUUCCCUGCUCCCGGCCUGGACAGAGGUAUCUAGGAAGGCACACAGCCUGCAUGGGGCUUGCUCAUCUGGGCCCUGCCCUGAGCUGGCAGCCCUCAGGGUCAGGACCCCCUCCGGAGGUGCCUACGUCUCCGGAAGCCUGUCCCUGCCUCUCCUCCUUUCCCUACAGAGCUAGACUCCAGGAGCCUGGCCUGAGGGCCACCUGGGCAGGCUGCCGGUGCAGGGGACUCACGGGCAGGCGCAUGGCGAGCUCCAGGAAGCCGUCAGCUGUUCCUAGACCAGCCUGCAGAGCCGGACGGCCAGCCUGCCUCCAACACGAGGGGUGGAGCCAGGAACUGAGAACACUGCUUUCCCAGAGCCUAGCUGGGCCAGGCCCACGGGCUUUCUCGGGCGCUGAGGGCCUGAGCCUUGGCUCUCUCUCCCUCGGUCUGUCUCCCCCCCUGCCCGCCACCAGCUAUUCCGCGGCAGAGUAUACGCUCUUGGCAAGGCCGUCCAUUUAACCUGCUUCCCAGAAAACAGGAUGGUUGGGCAGGCAGACUCAGCCAGCACCUUGGUGGGAAACAGGGCGGUGGACCUCAGCGCAGGCUUUUCUUGCCCGUACUCCUUGGGGGCCGGGUUGGGAGGUAGCCCUAAGCUGCCUUGGCUUACCUGGGUCAGAAGUAACCUCAGUUCAACUCACAGCCAGGCAGAGGCAAGAGCUUUGAGCUCCUGGAGCUGGGGAGAGGGGAAGGAUAAGCCUUGGCCCAGGAGUCUGAUCAGGGGCACUUAGCUGGGAGCCUUGGGUAAAGCCCCCCAUCUCUGAGUCUGUUACCUCAUUUGUUUGAUGGGCAUAAGAGUGCCCUUUAGAAAUGUGUCUGAAUACAAGGCUUCCGAAUGCAAAAAUGAAGUCGUUGUUUCCCCCUUCUCUCCCCUUCCAGGAGGACACUUCCACAGAGAACCCUGGGAGAUGUCUGGCACAGAGAAGAUGCUCACUUAAUGUAGGUGCACUGCUCCAGAAGUGAGGUCUGGGUCUCAGUGUGUCGGAGGGUGCCUUCCGUCCUUAUCUCUACAAAGGUGACCUUUCCUUCCGCUUCCUCUCUGGCUGUCCUGCCCUGGCCGGACCCCAUAGGGAUCGUGGUUCUGGCUUGAGACGCUGCAUUCCUCUCUGGCCGGGCCCGCCGAGACCCAGAGCCCAGGGAGGACUCCUUCCCCUCCUCGAUGCUCGUCCUGCAAGUCCAGACGCCGUCAACUCCAAGGCGUUCCCUCUGGGCCCGGGCCAGAGUAGCUGCGGCCGAGCUCCUCCCUCCCCCGCCAGCCUCCUUGGGUGCAGACAGCCCAGCACAGGCAGGAAGGGCCUUCUGUUUGCCUUGGCUGGUGGGGAAGAGAUUAGUGCUCGCUUUCUGUUUGGACUCUUGUAUCUAACUAACAGGCAGGCCCGUGACGUCGAAGCAAAGCACACUUGAGCCUUGAAUGAGUUUGGGCCCUGUUCCUGAGGCCCAGCCACUGCAGAGGUGUCUGGAGGUAGGAAGGGGUGAUAACACCACCCCUUGGGUAUAUGGAGAAAUGUAAUGGCCGUCUGUCAGCUGUCCCUACCCAGAGUCCACGACCCUUACUUUGGGUAAUGCCUCCUCAGGAGACCACUUCUCCCCGACCUCGACUUUAGAGGCAAGCAUGGAUCCCCGGACACACACGGAGACUCCCCCUUGGUGGUUUUGCAGCAGCUACGGGGAAAGCCCCCUUGGUGGUUUUGCAGCAGCUACGGGGAAAGAGGCAUUUGCUUUUUUGUGGGAUUUGCCAGGCUGAUGGAACUGCUGGCGGCCAUCCUGUUCUCUGCUUGAGGUCAAAGCCAACAAAGAAGAAAAAGCUCAGAGAUGGAGAGAAUAUGCUGUGCAGAUAUCCAUAAGCCCCUGGAUUGAGCCAUGCCUGAAGCUAACUCUACUCCUGGAUUAACCCGAUUAUAUGAGCCAAUGCAUUUCUUCUGUGCUAAAAUUAUCCUAAGUGGGGUUUCUGUCAUAGAAAGGAGCCUAAUAAAACAGUGUUUUUCUUUGGUCUCAUUAAGAAAAAAAAAUCAACUCUGAGGUAUACUUUGCAUGCAAUAAAAUCUACCCAUUCGAAGUGCUCAAGUCCUAAAUUUUAUCAAAUGUGUACACCCUGGUAACUACCACUGCAGUCGAGAUGUAGAACAUUUCAAGUUCUUAUUCCCCUUUAUAGUCCUUUACCCUGAACAACCACUGACCUGCCUUUGUUGUAGAGAUUAAUUUUGCCUUUCUAGAACUUCAUAUAAAUAUUAUCAUUUAGUGUUUACUCUUCUGUGUCUGGCUUCUUUUAUUCAGCAGGUCUUUGAGAUGCACCCAUGUUGU
Molecule: long non-coding RNA, 4461 nt
Filed under: Lynx pardinus (Iberian lynx)
Lineage: Eukaryota; Metazoa; Chordata; Mammalia; Carnivora; Felidae
Source: RNAcentral